This 468-nucleotide ribosomal RNA is filed under the name uncultured bacterium. RNAcentral's name for it is "partial 16S ribosomal RNA". It matches the Rfam family "Bacterial small subunit ribosomal RNA", at positions 28 to 507 of the family's 1533-position model. The record is from RNAcentral.
GACGAACGCUGGCGGCGUGCUUAACACAUGCAAGUCGAACGGAAAGGCCCUGCUUUUGUGGGGUGCUCGAGUGGCGAACGGGUGAGUAACACGUGAGUAACCUGCCCUUGACUUUGGGAUAACUUCAGGAAACUGGGGCUAAUACCGGAUAGGAGCUCCUGCUGCUUGGUGGGGGUUGGAAAGUUUCGGCGGUUGGGGAUGGACUCGCGGCUUAUCAGCUUGUUGGUGGGGUAGUGGCUUACCAAGGCUUUGACGGGUAGCCGGCCUGAGAGGGUGACCGGCCACAUUGGGACUGAGAUACGGCCCAGACUCCUACGGGAGGCAGCAGUGGGGAAUAUUGCACAAUGGGCGGAAGCCUGAUGCAGCAACGCCGCGUGCGGGAUGACGGCCUUCGGGUUGUAAACCGCUUUCGCCCGUGACGAAGCGUGAGUGACGGUAAUGGGUAAAGAAGCACCGGCUAACUACGUG